Molecule: ribosomal RNA, 254 nt
Filed under: uncultured bacterium
Lineage: Bacteria
Description: partial 16S ribosomal RNA
Rfam family: Bacterial small subunit ribosomal RNA
Source: RNAcentral
UACGUAGGUGGCAAGCGUUGUCCGGAAUUAUUGGGCGUAAAGCGCGCGCAGGCGGCCUCUUAAGUCUGAUGUGAAAGCCCCCGACUCAACCGGGGAGGGCCAUUGGAAACUGGGAGGCUUGAGUAUAGGAGAGAAGAGUGGAAUUCCACGUGUAGCGGUGAAAUGCGUAGAGAUGUGGAGGAACACCAGUGGCGAAGGCGACUCUUUGGCCUAUAACUGACGCUGAGGCGCGAAAGCGUGGGGAGCAAACAGGG